This is a non-coding RNA of Coffea arabica (coffee), 5052 nucleotides long. NCBI's taxonomy places the organism in Eukaryota, Viridiplantae, Streptophyta, Magnoliopsida, Gentianales, Rubiaceae. The record is from RefSeq and is a predicted model, not a curated record.
AGGGGGUGGUUCUUGUUCUAUUGCAACUGGUAUGGCUUGGCUGGUCAAAUGGCUUACUUAUUAACAUUUCUAUGAGGUUUAUGGCUCUUGACAUUCUACAUUAUGACCCAUUUUAUAUUGGCCUUUCUUUGUGAAGACCGGAUUAGUCGUCAGUUGUACAUGUAUGAAGUUCUACCUGAAUCUGUAUGUGUUGUGCUAUUAUUGAUUUUGUUAAUGGGUUAUCAAGUGGUGCAUCUGUGCAUCUGUUAAAAGCAGAAAUUAGGAUAUUAUUUAUCAAAAUUUGAAAUGUGUGUGUAUGUGGGUAGUUUUUGUAGAUAGGACAUGGUGAAAGAAUAAUGUAAAGAAAGCACCACUGACAUGUUGCAAUGUUCAAAAUCCUAUCAGCUUUCUCGGUCUAAGAGUGGCUCUACAUAUCAGGUUUUUAGCGCUAUCCUACAAAUUUUAACAGCAGUUUCUAUAUCUUAAUGUUCUUUACAGCGGUAUCUCAGUUGAUAGCAGACAUAGAUUCACAGAUUUUCUGGUUUAUAGAUGUGCAGUGGAUGUGAUGUAAAACGUUUAAAUGAUUAUGUUGAAAGAUUGUACUAAUGCUCCAGGGAAAAGAAUAGCUUCUUUAACGUGUCAGUUUGGAAAGGAGGUUUUUACAUUUUACUUUUAUGUUUCUACUGUUAGUCAAUUGGUUUGCUAGUAUAAAGUUUUUGUUUUCAAGUAAUCUGUAGUCUUUUGUCAGAAUGUUGAAAAGAAAUCUAAAAAAGUUUGCACUAAUUCCAGAACUACAACAUGCUGCUUUGACAAGAUACAGGAAUAGCAAGAUAUUGUUGGAAACAAGGUAACCCAGUAAACAGAUAAGCCAACUUGCUGCUUAAUUUGGACUCUUCUUGUAGAUUUAUCCAGGAAAAAGUGCACCAGCAGAUGCUAAAGGAACAAGUUCAGGACUUCAUUAAACUGCUGAGUACCUUCAGGGUCAGUAUUUAAGUUUAACGAAGUUAAAGUGCCUCAAGUUCCUAGUCUGUGUAAUGAAGACCAGGCUCAGGAAGAGACGUGGAACUCAGGAAGUAAAAGUUGAUAAGGGAACAGAGAAACCAUCAGGGAGCAAUAUGGAUGUCGUUGCUUUGAAGGAAGAUGUCAACAGUCAAGAUGAGAGCAUUGUCAUCGAGGGAAAGGCUACCUCAGAGCCAAGUGAGCAGCAAGUGCGUUACACGGUCCAGGGAAAUGAAGAAGCUGAAAUGCCAAAUGUCACUGGAGAGGGACAGCAUCUUAAUGUUACAAAGGAGCUGAAAAAGAGAAAGCGCAGUGCAGAUGUCGAAUUUGCUAUCGCAUCUCCUACUGACAAAUGUUCAUCCAGGCUUCGCCCAAGGAAGGAGGUACCUUCACUCCAGACGGUGGAUUUGAAUGAGAAUGACAUUGAAAGGAUUGUGGGGAUGAGAGAAUAAAGGUUUACUGGCCAGAUUCGCAAAAAUGGUUUGCAGUAAGAAUUAAAUCCUUCAAUAGGGAGAAGAUGCUUCAUACUGUAAACAAUGAUGAUGGUGACGUAGAAGAGUUGCAGUUGAAGAAAGAGAAAUUUGAACUUGAGGUCAAGCCUAAGGAUGGUUUUCACAUAAAAGCAGAACUUCACUCUAGAAAAAGGAAGAAGGAUCUCAGUGGUGAUGUGGUUGGGAAAACAAGUAUUAGCCAAGAGUAUGUUAAGGCCAAGGAUAAUGCAAAUAUAGAAGGAGAAAGCAAAAAGGAUCUCGGUGGAGAUGUGGUUGCCAAUGUGAGUUUUAGCCAGGAGUAUGCUAAGGUCAAGGAUGAAGCAGAGAUAGAAGGAGAAAGCAAGAAGUAUCUCAGUGGUGAUGUGGUUGCUAACUGGAUUUAUAACCAAAAGUAUGAUAAGGUGAAAAAUAAUAGCGAGAUAGAAGGAGAAAAAUAAUAGCGAGACAGAACGAGAAAGGAAGAAUGAUCUCGGUGGCGAUGUGGUUUCCAACACAAGUUUUAGCCAGGAGUAUGAUAAUGUCAAGCAUAAUUCAGAGAUAGGAGGAGAGGGUCCUAAAACUGCUGUAUCAAAGGAAGAUGUGGAAUCUAAUCCAGGGGAACAACAACCAGCUGAUAACAACAGUGAGAGAGAUGAGAAUCAGGUAGGUUCUGCAAGGCAAAAUGCCAGGUUCACUGAUGUAGAUGGAAGCAGAAAGCGUUGAGUUGCCAGGAACAGACGCAAGUGACCACUAAAUUAUUGCUGAAACUAACUGAAAGAGGUUGAACACCAUUUCUAGCAAGUAAGCCUGCUUCUGAAAAUUUUGUCUUUACUCUUAAAGGAUGCCCUUGCAUGGUGGUUCUCAUCCUGCUCUUUUCAUUGCUUUAUAUUCAUGCAUUCAGUAAGUAAUUUUACAUGUAACAAUUAUGCACAUAACACUUGUCCAUUGAUAUCUAAAAAUAGCUGGGGACUGUUUGGGUUUUUGUCUCUGUCCUGGACCCAUGAUGCUCAAUUAAUACUGAUGAACAAUUUUUAAUUGUCAUAUAAAUGUGUCUGUGUUUUGACAGACUUUUUGUUUUGCAUUUCCUGUGGUAUGAAAGAGAAAUGUCCAUCCUUUCUCUAAUAAUAGAUGGGAAUUGAAUCGUGCUAUGCUUGAGAUGGGUAAAAACUGCUAAAUGAGGAAACUUACCGGGAGAGUGAAAGCUGAAACAUUAGGUGACUACCAUCCUUAUGAAUCAUUUUUGUCAUCCUAAGAUGUGUCCUUGUCCUAGCAGACUUGAGUGUUUGACAGAUUGGCUGAACUAUCAGCAGGAAUUAGAGAACAAUUACCAUGGCUGCCUCUUCCUACUAUUUCAGGUGAAAGAAAGACUAAUUAAUUAAAUUAUAAUUAUUCCUGCCAUCAGAAUAGAUGUAAUCACCUGUGAUUUUGUCAUCACGGAAUCCUCGGCCCAAUUUUUGCUCAAACAGAUAGGCUGUAGCAGUUGUGCUUUGUACUGCCUUCAACUGAAUCUAGAAAAUGGAGUUUUUCCCUUGGUUGGACCCUGAUUGCUCAGACCGCUAUUGGAUCCUUCAUCCUUAUGAAGUGUCUAUAACCAACUGUCUGUUUCACCCAUUACCAUAGCUAGGUUGAUCAGCAAGACACAAUGGUACAUUCAUGUGCACCAACAAGAGAUUUGAUUAGUUUGAUUUGUAUGGUUCUGUAAUUUUAAGUGAAAAUUUCACAUGGAAAUAGUAUCUAAAGAAUGCUGAAGGGCCAGAGCAAAGUGAAAGAAUUCUGGCAAGGUUUUGUCAACAAAUAAGAAGAGUGAACUGACAAGCUUAAUAUAGAAAUUAAGAAAAGAAAUGGAGAUGCAAAACGCCGUCGGAUUGUUGAUGCUUCUUUCUGGAUCCUUUUGCUGUCAAUGACUAAUGUAAGAGCCGGAGUCAUCAACCAACUAAUGCUGCGACUUCCAAAAAUAAAAUUUGCAUUGUGUUUCCAAUCUACGCAGAAAAGGAACCAAGGAUAUUAAUGUAACCAACUCUGGAAAAUGCUACAGUAAUUCAGGAAGUAUAAUAAACACUUGUCUAUACACGAGUAGAGAUACAAUUUGUAAAGCCAAAAGUGAAAAAAGAAUAAAGUUCGUCAAGGCUAGCACACACAACAUAUUACAAUGAAAUUGUUGCCUAUUUGUGGAACUAUCCGCUCAAUAACACGUUUCAGCUUGUCUAUCUGGAUCAAAGGUUGUAAGUGUGGGAAAUAAGAAAGAGCCUUUAUAAUAUCUGUUCUCAACAUGUCCGUUUCCUCAUAAAGAACUUCUAUGAUACAAAUUUGGAAACUACCAAGAGAAUUACAUUUGUCUAAGGAUAGCAAGCUUGUAGUUUUCAUGUAAAAUAUCAAGUUGACCGAUCAAAAAGGAAUUUGGGCUGCCAAGAUCAAGUAGUUCUGACAAAGAAAACUGGUGAAAUAAAAGCUGCAUCAUGACCCAUUUACCAAAUGAAAUGCAUGAACUAUAUUGGCUUGCCUGAUUCCUGGUCAGAAGUGAACAUGUAAUCGGAACGAUGUUAGUUGAACAUCACUUCCUAUUUGUCUUUACCUGUGCCGGCCCCUCUUCCUGGGUUUUUCCUCCCCCUUCUUAAUUAUGCCAUUUUUUCUUUUUUUGGUUGAGAUUGAGGAAUAAGACCAGUAUUUGCAUUUUCAAGGUCCCUAUUCUUAAUAGACACCAAAACUGUUCUGACUUGUGAUUCUUAACAUAGUUUAUUCUUUACACUUUCAUGCGUGUUUUAUCAUGUUACUAUAGAAUUCAAAUGCAUUUGAAACAAGAUUUUGAUUAGGUUAGUAGCCCUUCACAAUUUUUCUCACCCUCUAUUGGCUGGAAGUUUCAUAAAUGUUUUCAAUAAUUUGUAUUCCUAUAGCAGCAUUAAAUAGAAUUUAUUCGGUAAUCUGAUAGAGUCCACGAACAACUACUUAGCUGAAAGAAAGUUUUCCGUUUGUGAUGAGCCUAGGGAACUGCAAGUUUAGAACUUAGGUUGCAGGACCCAAUGUGCUCCACAAUGGCUUCAAAUCUAUCAGGAAAUCUUUGAAGUAUCUUGCGAGGAAAGAAAAGAAAAGGAUUGUCAUUGUAAAUUUUACUGGUCCACUGAUACAAAGUCAUCUAUGGUGUGAUAAAUAAUCAAGAUUACUUUUGACUUCUUCACUGAUUUUAUGGGGAUUCCACUGCAUUCUUUUUAAUUCUCUGUUUCGCUGAUUUUAUGGUGAGUCCACUGCAUUUUUAAUUUUCUGUUUGCAGAAGAAUAUCUCACACGACAUGGAGAAGCCCCUCUACUAGACUUUUUACUUCUGGUCCCUACAGAAUGCCAUCCACCAGAAUCCUGAAUGUUGGAAGGAUGAUAUGCGACAUAGUCGAGUCCUUUUGCUUUUUGUCUGGAAACCAGAUGAAGUGCAUGGUUAUAUCAUUUUGAAAGAAACCUUAGGAUUAACUUGUUUAUGAAGUAGACCAAUUCCGCAAGUAUCUACCUGUUUACCUGUUUAUGUUGUGAAUCUCCUUUGAAGUAUGAACUAUGUAUAGUUAUAUUUUGUGUAUGAAUCUACAUUAUUCUUUCAAGUUAAUACUUGUGUUGAUCUCUUC